Molecule: long non-coding RNA, 307 nt
Organism: Sander lucioperca (pikeperch)
Lineage: Eukaryota; Metazoa; Chordata; Actinopteri; Perciformes; Percidae
Exons: 3
Source: RefSeq, a predicted model, not a curated record
ACAGUCCUUUCUGAUCUGUUUCACAGGAACUAAAGCCUUUGACCCACUGCUGGCUGUUCGUCUGCUUCUCUUCACUCUGCACACUGUUCUCAUCGUCAUAGUAACGGCCAUCAUCAUCAAAAGGAUGUGCGUUCGCAAAAAAAAGAUGAUGGUGUAGCCUCCAGACGCCGUAGAGGAGCUGAGACGUCCAGAGGAACGAGGCCGGGCUGUCUGAUAUUAUCAUCUGUAACAUAUCUGCUCUAAUAUUACAUCACUGGACCUUUAUCUCUGAUAUUAUCAUCUGUAACAUAUCUGCUCUAAUAUUACA